GUGCUCACUUCAGCAGCACAUAUACUAAAAUUGGAAGGAUACAGAGAUUAGCAUGGCCUCUGUGCAAGGAUGAAAUGUCCUCUCAAUCAUCAUCAUUUAU
This 100-nucleotide small nuclear RNA is filed under the name Pan paniscus (pygmy chimpanzee). The record is from RNAcentral. Lineage: Eukaryota; Metazoa; Chordata; Mammalia; Primates; Hominidae.